RNAcentral lists this ribosomal RNA (256 nucleotides) under uncultured bacterium. RNAcentral describes it as "partial 16S ribosomal RNA". It matches the Rfam family "Bacterial small subunit ribosomal RNA", at positions 521 to 776 of the family's 1533-position model. The record is from RNAcentral.
UAAUACGGAGGGGGCUAGCGUUGUUCGGAAUUACUGGGCGUAAAGCGCACGUAGGCGGCUAUUCAAGUCAGAGGUGAAAGCCCGGGGCUCAACCCCGGAAUUGCCUUUGAAACUAGAUAGCUCGAAUCUGGGAGAGGUGAGUGGAAUUCCGAGUGUAGAGGUGAAAUUCGUAGAUAUUCGGAAGAACACCAGUGGCGAAGGCGGCUCACUGGACCAGUAUUGACGCUGAGGUGCGAAAGCGUGGGGAGCAAACAGG